AGGAAUAUUGGUCAAUGGACGAGAGUCUGAACCAGCCAAGUAGCGUGAAGGAUGACUGCCCUAUGGGUUGUAAACUUCUUUUAUACGGGAAUAAAGUGAGCCACGUGUGGCUUUUUGUAUGUACCGUAUGAAUAAGGAUCGGCUAACUCCGUGCCAGCAGCCGCGGUAAUACGGAGGAUCCGAGCGUUAUCCGGAUUUAUUGGGUUUAAAGGGAGCGUAGGCGGGUUGUUAAGUCAGUUGUGAAAGUUUGCGGCUCAACCGUAAAAUUGCAAUUGAUACUGGCAGUCUUGAGUACAGUUGAGGUAGGCGGAAUUCGUGGUGUAGCGGUGAAAUGCUUAGAUAUCACGAAGAACUCCGAUUGCGAAGGCAGCUUACUAACCUGUAACUGACAUUGAUGCUCGAAAGUGUGGGUAUCAAACAGGAUUAGAUACCCUGGUAGUCCACACGGUAAACGAUGAAUACUCGCUGUAGGCGAUAUACGGUCUGCGGCCAAGCGAAAGCAUUAAGUAUUCCACCUGGGGAGUACGCCGGCAACGGUGAAACUCAAAGGAAUUGACGGGGGCCCGCACAAGCGGAGGAACAUGUGGUUUAAUUCGAUGAUACGCGAGGAACCUUACCCGGGCUUAAAUUGCAACCGAAUAUGGCGGAAACGCUAUAGCUAGCAAUAGCGGUUGUGAAGGUGCUGCAUGGUCGUCGUCAGCUCGUGCCGUGAGGUGUCGGCUUAAGUGCCAUAACGAGCGCAACCCUUGCCGAUAGUUACUAACAGGUUAUGCUGAGGACUCUGUCGGGACUGCCAUCGUAAGAUGUGAGGAAGGUGGGGAUGACGUCAAAUCAGCACGGCCCUUACGUCCGGGGCUACACACGUGUUACAAUGGGGGGUACAGAGGGCUGCUACCACGCAAGUGGAUGCCAAUCCCAAAAACCUCUCUCAGUUCGGAUUGAAGUCUGCAACCCGACUUCAUGAAGCUGGAUUCGCUAGUAAUCGCGCAUCAGCCACGGCGCGGUGAAUACGUUCCCG
Molecule: ribosomal RNA, 1018 nt
Filed under: uncultured bacterium
Lineage: Bacteria
Description: bacterial SSU rRNA
Rfam family: Bacterial small subunit ribosomal RNA
Source: RNAcentral